This 520-nucleotide ribosomal RNA is filed under the name uncultured Glomus. Its description in RNAcentral is "SSU rRNA". It matches the Rfam family "Eukaryotic small subunit ribosomal RNA", at positions 569 to 1090 of the family's 1831-position model. The record is from RNAcentral. Lineage: Eukaryota; Fungi; Glomeromycota; Glomeromycetes; Glomerales; Glomeraceae.
AGCAGCCGCGGUAAUUCCAGCUCCAAUAGCGUAUAUUAAAAUUGUUGCAGUUAAAAAGCUCGUAGUUGAAUUUCGGGGUUAGUAGGUUGGUCAUGCCUCCGGUAUGUACUGAUCUCACUGAUUCCUCCUUCCUUAUGAACCGUAAUGCCAUUAAUUUGGUGUUGCGGGGAAUUUGGACUGUUACUUUGAAAAAAUUAGAGUGUUUAAAGCAAGCUAACGCUUGAAUACAUUAGCAUGGAAUAAUGAAAUAGGACGUUCGAUCUUAUUUUGUUGGUUUCUAGGAUUGACGUAAUGAUUAAUAGGGAUAGUUGGGGGCAUUAGUAUUCAAUUGUCAGAGGUGAAAUUCUUGGAUUUAUUGAAGACUAACUACUGCGAAAGCAUUUGCCAAGGAUGUUUUCAUUAAUCAAGAACGAAAGUUAGGGGAUCGAAGACGAUCAGAUGCCGUCGUAGUCUUAACCAUAAACUAUGCCGACUAGGGAUCGGAUGAUGUUAAUUUUUUAAUGACUCAUUCGGCGCCUUA